AUACUUUAAUAUAAGAUGUAUAUUAAUUUUUGAUAUUAAAAGUGGAGGUUUGAAUCUUUAAGUAUAA
RNAcentral lists this transfer RNA (67 nucleotides) under Galerucella sp. EMHAU-15070821. Its description in RNAcentral is "tRNA-Gln". The record is from RNAcentral. Lineage: Eukaryota; Metazoa; Arthropoda; Insecta; Coleoptera; Chrysomelidae.